UUUGUACCCGGGUCCAGGACUGGGGCAUGGCCACUCCCCUGGCCUGCACCCCUACACUGCUCUACAGCCCCACCUGCCCUGUAGCCCUCAGUAUCUCACUCACCCAGCUCACCCCGCCCACCCCAUGCCUCACAUGCCCCGGCCUGCCGUCUUCCCUGUGCCCAGCUCUGCAUACCCACAGGGUGUGCAUCCUGCAUUCCUGGGGGCUCAGUACCCUUAUUCAGUGACUCCUCCCUCACUUGCUGCCACUGCUGUGUCUUUCCCCGUCCCUUCCAUGGCACCCAUCACAGUACAUCCCUACCACACAGAGCCAGGGCUUCCACUGCCCACCAGUGUGGCCUUGAGCAGUGUCCAUCCAGCAUCCACGUUUCCAGCCAUCCAGGGUGCCUCACUGCCUGCCCUGACCACACAGCCCAGCCCUCUGGUGAGCGGAGGUUUUCCACCGCCCGAGGAGGAGACACACAGUCAGCCAGUCAAUCCCCACAGCCUGCACCACCUGCAUGCUGCCUACCGUGUCGGAAUGCUGGCACUGGAGAUGCUGGGUCGCCGGGCACACAACGAUCACCCCAACAACUUCUCCCGCUCCCCCCCCUACACUGAUGAUGUCAAAUGGUUGCUGGGGCUGGCAGCAAAGCUGGGUAACACCUCCCCUCCCUAGACCAUUGCCCCCCC
RNAcentral lists this small RNA (672 nucleotides) under Pongo abelii (Sumatran orangutan). RNAcentral describes it as "processed transcript". Lineage: Eukaryota; Metazoa; Chordata; Mammalia; Primates; Hominidae. The record is from RNAcentral.